CCAGGGGUGACUCUCGCCCCACGCGGAGGGGCCCGCACGAGUCCACAGAACAUGACCUGUUACUUAAAAUUUCUGGCACUGUGUAAGGACUCCAGCUCUUCCCUGUGGCACUACAAGACACCACUCAUGUUGGAUGGACAGAAGAUCACUGGAUUUAUUUCUGCCUCUAACUUAAAUAUGGAAUUUUAAUGGGAAGGUCUUAAGACCUGUCAGGGCAACUAGGUAAGUAGCACGUUGUUC
This 240-nucleotide long non-coding RNA is filed under the name Manacus vitellinus (golden-collared manakin). RNAcentral describes it as "lncRNA (ENSMVIG00005005529.1)". The record is from RNAcentral. Lineage: Eukaryota; Metazoa; Chordata; Aves; Passeriformes; Pipridae.